RNAcentral lists this unclassified non-coding RNA (311 nucleotides) under plant metagenome. RNAcentral's name for it is "partial contains 5.8S ribosomal RNA, internal transcribed spacer 2, and large subunit ribosomal RNA". The stretch from base 1 to 104 matches the Rfam family "5.8S ribosomal RNA", at positions 51 to 154 of the family's 154-position model. The record is from RNAcentral.
AAAUGCGAUAAGUAAUGUGAAUUGCAGAAUUCCGUGAAUCAUCGAAUCUUUGAACACACAUUGCGCCCUCUGGCAUUCCGGGGGGCAUGCCUGUCCGAGCGUCAUUACGCACCCUCAAGCCCGGCUUGUGUGAUGGGCCCCGGCGUCUCGUUCGCGAGACGGGCCCGAAAGGCAGCGGCGGCGUCGACCCGAUGAGCCCGAGCGUAUGGGGACUUCUGUCACACGUUCGCGGUGCGGACCGGCGCCUGCUUGACUUUUCUGAUUAUCCAGGUUGACCUCGGAUCAGGUAGGGAUACCCGCUGAACUUAAGC